RNAcentral lists this unclassified non-coding RNA (494 nucleotides) under Hevea brasiliensis (rubber tree). The record is from RNAcentral. Lineage: Eukaryota; Viridiplantae; Streptophyta; Magnoliopsida; Malpighiales; Euphorbiaceae.
UACUCAGCUUGCUUUAUCGAUAUUGUGGGCAGUCUGCAAGCUUGCACCAGAAGAAUGCUCUGCACUCGCUGUGGAGGCAGGUUUGGCGGCGAAGCUGCUUCUGGUAAUACAAAGUGGUUGUAAUCCUGUGCUGAAGCAGAGAUCAGCUGAGCUCUUGAAAUUGUGUAGUCUAAAUUACUCAUCUACUAUCUUCAUUUCCAAGUGUAAGCUUACUAAAACGAUACAAUGAAGAAAAAUGCCAGCUUGUUGAUUUGUGCCAUAUCUUUUUCCUGUUGUCCAGAGAGACAAUUGGGCUGGAGCUUGUGGGAUAGAAUCAGUGGUACCCCUUUUCUGUCCCUUUGUGUAUAUUAAAGAUCUUUUGAUAAAUUCCAUUGGUUUCACGUAGUGGGAGCUGAUAAUGUGGAUUUUAGGCUAAUUGCAUGUUGUGUAAUCAUUAUUUAUUAAUCCACUGUCAAUAAGGCUGGUGUUUUGCCAAAAUUUUCUACUAAUUCCCA